This 538-nucleotide ribosomal RNA is filed under the name uncultured bacterium. Its description in RNAcentral is "bacterial SSU rRNA". It matches the Rfam family "Bacterial small subunit ribosomal RNA", at positions 335 to 883 of the family's 1533-position model. The record is from RNAcentral.
ACUCCUACGGGAGGCAGCAGUGGGGAAUAUUGGACAAUGGGCGGAAGCCUGAUCCAGCAACGCCGCGUGAGGGAUGACGGCCUUCGGGUUGUAAACCUCUUUCAGUAGGGACGAAGCGCAAGUGACGGUACCUACAGAAGAAGCACCGGCCAACUACGUGCCAGCAGCCGCGGUAAUACGUAGGGUGCGAGCGUUGUCCGGAAUUAUUGGGCGUAAAGGGCUCGUAGGCGGUUUGUCGCGUCGGGAGUGAAAACACCGGGCUUAACUCGGUGCUUGCUUUCGAUACGGGCAGACUAGAGGUAUGCAGGGGAGAACGGAAUUCCUGGUGUAGCGGUGAAAUGCGCAGAUAUCAGGAGGAACACCGGUGGCGAAGGCGGUUCUCUGGGCAUUACCUGACGCUGAGGAGCGAAAGUGUGGGGAGCGAACAGGAUUAGAUACCCUGGUAGUCCACACCGUAAACGUUGGGCGCUAGGUGUGGGGCCUAUUCCAUGGGUUCCGUGCCGCAGCUAACGCAUUAAGCGCCCCGCCUGGGGAGUAC